This 352-nucleotide ribosomal RNA is filed under the name uncultured bacterium. RNAcentral describes it as "bacterial SSU rRNA". It matches the Rfam family "Bacterial small subunit ribosomal RNA", at positions 917 to 1269 of the family's 1533-position model. The record is from RNAcentral.
GGGCCCGCACAAGCGGUGGAGCAUGUGGUUUAAUUCGAUGCAACGCGAAGAACCUUACCAAGCCUUGACAUCCUCGGAACUUUCCAGAAAUGGAUUGGUGCCUUCGGGAACCGAGUGACAGGUGCUGCAUGGCUGUCGUCAGCUCGUGUCGUGAGAUGUUGGGUUAAGUCCCGUAACGAGCGCAACCCUUGUCCUUAGUUGCCAGCACUUCGGGUGGGAACUCUAACGGGACUGCCGGUGCAAACCGUGAGGAAGGUGGGGACGACGUCAAAUCAUCACGGCCCUUACGUCCUGGGCUACACACGUGCUACAAUGGUCGGUACAGAGGGAAGCUACCCCGUAAGGGGAUGCG